UCAAGAGUUUUUGUACACGUGAGGCUGUC
This 29-nucleotide small RNA is filed under the name Bombyx mori (domestic silkworm). RNAcentral describes it as "piRNA piR-bmo-2042003". Lineage: Eukaryota; Metazoa; Arthropoda; Insecta; Lepidoptera; Bombycidae. The record is from RNAcentral.